This 962-nucleotide long non-coding RNA is filed under the name Nicotiana tabacum (common tobacco). RNAcentral describes it as "long non-coding RNA (NTAB_LNC005760)". The record is from RNAcentral. Lineage: Eukaryota; Viridiplantae; Streptophyta; Magnoliopsida; Solanales; Solanaceae.
GCAAUACAAAUUGAACUGAAUUCCCCAUUCGGGACACAAUCAGACUGUUGGAACCGAUCCUACAAGGGUUUUUACCCUCAAAUAUAUAUUUCACCUUAUAAAGUCUUUGGCUCUAAUCCAACCUGUCUACCUUUAGUGACUCUUGGAUCAUAUGUAGUAAAAGAAUUUCACCAUCUCACAUCUCCGAUUUCCGUUUUGAGUCUAGGCAAUAAAUAUGUACAACACUGUCAUUCGCAAAACAAUCAUGGUUAAAAACAUAAAUAAAAAGAGUCGCCAUCAGAGUGCAGUAGAGAAAGAACCAAAGCAUUCAAACUAAAUCUCUAAAUUAUCUGUUGUCAACAAAGUUGACAAGUAACAAGAAGGUUAUUAGCUAAAUCACUUCGAAAUGAUUGACAACCAUAGAACGUAGCUCUUCAUACUCGAGGGGGCUCUGGUCCACAAGCAGACGUGCAGUACGUCAACAUUUAUCUCACGACCAGUUGACAAGGAUUGGAACGGAUCACACCACAAAAUCAAUUUUCCUGCAAUCAAAACCACUUAGUAGAUUAAAUUAUUGAAAAGAGACCGAAGCAAUUGCCAACUCAAUACCAUAAGUUUCAUCUUUCAUUAGUAUAGCAGAAACCCCCUCCCCACAAGUACUCUCAGCUAAACUGGUGGAAUUGUAAAUUUGCAAAGGAACAACAAAAAUUUCAAAUGACAAGCAUAGAUGCAUAAUCUACAAAACUCAGCUUUAGACCCCCUGGGACAAGUAUUGUCGACUACAGGUCGCGGCUGGUGUUGGGCAGCUCACCAAAGUGAGAAAAGAACACUCCAAAAAGUUGAAGAAGAGUGCUAUAGUGGGCGAUGAGCAGGCCAUAAAAAUAAAAGACAGUAAUGUACCUUGUGAGCAAAAAUUUACCCAACUAGUUACUGCUGCUGUUUUGCUUAUAUGCUUCCAUUCUGCUGCGUCUGGACGUAAGCUU